This 730-nucleotide ribosomal RNA is filed under the name uncultured bacterium. RNAcentral's name for it is "bacterial SSU rRNA". It matches the Rfam family "Bacterial small subunit ribosomal RNA", at positions 769 to 1504 of the family's 1533-position model. The record is from RNAcentral.
CAAAUCGGAUUAGAUACCCUGGUAGUCCACGCCCUAAACGAUGUCGACUAGUUGUCGGGCCUUUACAGGCUCGGUAACGCAGCUAACGCGUGAAGUCGACCGCCUGGGGAGUACGGUCGCAAGAUUAAAGCUCAAAGGAAUUGACGGGGACCCGCACAAGCGGUGGAUGAUGUGGAUUAAUUCGAUGCAACGCGAAAAACCUUACCUACCCUUGACAUGGCAGGAACGGGGCAGAGAUGUCCCGGUGCCCGAAAGGGAACCUGCACACAGGUGCUGCAUGGCUGUCGUCAGCUCGUGUCGUGAGAUGUUGGGUUAAGUCCCGCAACGAGCGCAACCCUUGCCACUAGUUGCUACGAAAGGGCACUCUAGUGGGACUGCCGGUGACAAACCGGAGGAAGGUGGGGAUGACGUCAAGUCCUCAUGGCCCUUAUGGGUAGGGCUUCACACGUCAUACAAUGGCCGGUACAGAGGGCAGCCAACCCGCGAGGGGGAGCCAAUCCCAGAAAACCGGUCGUAGUCCGGAUUGCAGUCUGCAACUCGACUGCAUGAAGUCGGAAUCGCUAGUAAUCGCGGAUCAGCAUGUCGCGGUGAAUACGUUCCCGGGUCUUGUACACACCGCCCGUCACACCAUGGGAGUGGGUUUCACCAGAAGCCGUUUGCCUAACCGCAAGGAGGGCGGCGACCACGGUGAGAUUCAUGACUGGGGUGAAGUCGUAACAAGGUAACCGUA